UGAGGGUGCUAAAAGUGACUA
Molecule: non-coding RNA, 21 nt
Filed under: Arabidopsis thaliana (thale cress)
Lineage: Eukaryota; Viridiplantae; Streptophyta; Magnoliopsida; Brassicales; Brassicaceae
Source: RNAcentral